GCGCGCCGGCGCGUUGACGCGUCGAGCGGCUGCGAUUCGCUUCGAGCAGGAUCUUGCGCAGGCGUUCGUUCACGCCGAUCGGCGCAUCC
RNAcentral lists this transfer RNA (89 nucleotides) under Caballeronia grimmiae. Its description in RNAcentral is "tRNA-Arg". The record is from RNAcentral. Lineage: Bacteria; Pseudomonadati; Pseudomonadota; Betaproteobacteria; Burkholderiales; Burkholderiaceae.